UCUUGAAUUAUUGGGUCCUAAAGCCUAUAUUACAGUUGUUAGCUUUUGCUGACUAUGACGAUAAACGGCUUGUGAAAUAAGCGAUACGGACCCGGGGGCGGUACCCGGCAUCUCCACCAAUUUUAAGGGGAUGAAAUAGGAUCGACGUGCGUAGUAAAGAUAAGUUUUUCGUUCGGCAAGUACCACCGUUAUCGGACUAUUGUUAUAAGUGCUAACAAAAACAAUGGUCGACGCACCGCUGCUAAUGGUAACUUAAAUGUUGCUAACCGUGGGCGUAGGCUAGCACGUAACGCUGCUUAAUAAAACAAGCAAGCGCGGUUUGAAGGGCACCGGGCAACAGAAGCCCUUC
Molecule: transfer-messenger RNA, 349 nt
Filed under: marine eukaryotic metagenome
Description: Alphaproteobacteria transfer-messenger RNA
Rfam family: Alphaproteobacteria transfer-messenger RNA
About the family: Bacterial tmRNA, also known as 10Sa RNA or SsrA, is named for its dual tRNA and mRNA-like properties. Its role is to liberate the mRNA from a stalled ribosome.
Source: RNAcentral